GGAGUAUCUCCAAGUCUUCCUACACGCUUUUCCUCUGUAAACCGUCCGGUCUCCUAUUUCUCCAAGUUCUUCUGAUGGAUGUUCACUUUAGUUAGAUCCGGCCGGGUACUUGUUAACGGCACUCAACGGUAGGUUGGCGCUCAACGGUGAGUGUGAUACUCAAAUUCUACCCUUAGCGUUGGCGCUUAAGCGUUUGACAGAGAAUCCUCCUACGGAACUAGCGCUCAGCGUUAUGUCAGCGUUGAGCGGUGGCUGCAUUUCUCUUUUGUUCACACCUUUUCUUGAGUCCUACUUCUUCCUAGUUCAACUUCCUUCAUUCAAUUCCUGAUAAACCUGCCAAAUCAUGGGAAAACCAAGCAUAAAACCAAGAAAACCACCUUCGACUCUCU
Molecule: long non-coding RNA, 389 nt
Filed under: Vigna radiata
Lineage: Eukaryota; Viridiplantae; Streptophyta; Magnoliopsida; Fabales; Fabaceae
Description: long non-coding RNA (VRAD_LNC016704)
Source: RNAcentral